AGAAGCGGGGGAUAACACCUGGAAACAGAUGCUAAUACCGCAUAACAACUUGGACCGCAUGGUCCGAGCUUGAAAGAUGGCUUCGGCUAUCACUUUUGGAUGGUCCCGCGGCGUAUUAGCUAGAUGGUGGGGUAACGGCUCACCAUGGCAAUGAUACGUAGCCGACCUGAGAGGGUAAUCGGCCACAUUGGGACUGAGACACGGCCCAAACUCCUACGGGAGGCAGCAGUAGGGAAUCUUCCACAAUGGACGAAAGUCUGAUGGAGCAACGCCGCGUGAGUGAAGAAGGGUUUCGGCUCGUAAAACUCUGUUGUUAAAGAAGAACAUAUCUGAGAGUAACUGUUCAGGUAUUGACGGUAUUUAACCAGAAAGCCACGGCUAACUACGUGCCAGCAGCCGCGGUAAUACGUAGGUGGCAAGCGUUGUCCGGAUUUAUUGGGCGUAAAGCGAGCGCAGGCGGUUUUUUAAGUCUGAUGUGAAAGCCUUCGGCUCAACCGAAGAAGUGCAUCGGAAACUGGGAAACUUGAGUGCAGAAGA
RNAcentral lists this ribosomal RNA (537 nucleotides) under Lactiplantibacillus plantarum. Its description in RNAcentral is "bacterial SSU rRNA". It matches the Rfam family "Bacterial small subunit ribosomal RNA", at positions 132 to 655 of the family's 1533-position model. The record is from RNAcentral. Lineage: Bacteria; Bacillati; Bacillota; Bacilli; Lactobacillales; Lactobacillaceae.